UUGACCUCAAAUCAGGUAGGAUUACCCGCUGAACUUAAGCAUAUCAAUAAGCGGAGGAAAAGAAACUAACAAGGAUUCCCCUAGUAACUGCGAGUGAAGCGGGAAGAGCUCAAAUUUGAAAUCUGACGGUUGUUGACCGUCCGAGUUGUAAUCUAGAGAAGUGUUACCUGUGCUGGACCGUGUACAAGUCUUCUGGAAUGGAGCAUCAUAGAGGGUGAGAAUCCCGUCUUUGACAUGGACUACCUGUACGUUGUGGUACGCUCUCAAAGAGUCGAGUUGUUUGGGAAUGCAGCUCAAAAUGGGUGGUAAAUGCCAUCUAAAGCUAAAUAUUGGCGAGAGACCGAUAGCGAACAAGUACCGUGAGGGAAAGAUGAAAAGAACUUUGGAAAGAGAGUUAAACAGUACGUGAAAUUGCUGAAAGGGAAACGCUUGAAGUCAGUCACGUCGGCUAGAAAUCAGCCUUGCUUCUGCUUGGUGUACUUUCUGGUUGAUGGGUCAGCAUCAAUUUUGACCAUUGGAUAAAGUCUCUGGGAAUGUGGCAUCUUUUUUUAGAUGUGUUAUAGCCCAUUGUCGCAUACGGUGGUUGGGAUUGAGGAACUCAGGAUGCCCUGCAAGGGGCCAGGUUUCGACCAUGUUCAUGCUUAGGAUGCUGGCAUAAUGGCUUCAAUCGACCCGUC
RNAcentral lists this ribosomal RNA (677 nucleotides) under Inocybe assimilata. RNAcentral's name for it is "eukaryotic LSU rRNA". It matches the Rfam family "Eukaryotic large subunit ribosomal RNA", at positions 1 to 653 of the family's 3401-position model. Lineage: Eukaryota; Fungi; Basidiomycota; Agaricomycetes; Agaricales; Inocybaceae. The record is from RNAcentral.